CGUGCCUCGUGUGUCUCGCUGCCUGUUCUUAGACGUACGUCUCAUCCCAUGCAACAGCAAAAAGUAUAACAUACAAACACUUCUUUAACGCUGGUGGUGAUUACCUUGUUGCAGCCAAAUGGUGAAAGGUGUGACGAAGACAGAUUGAACCAUUGUAUGGAACAUGCGGUUGCAGUUCAAUCCAGAAGUUGCUGUGCUGUGGUAGCUGAGCUGUUCCAUCUGGGUUCCUGACUUCAAAAAUGUUGUGUUGUCGUUUAUGCCAUAUGAAUUGCUUUUUGUGUUGCUGAGUUAAAAGUUUGAUCUGUUGUCUUUUGAGUUUUCAUUCAAUUAUGCAGUAUACGAUUGAG
This 347-nucleotide long non-coding RNA is filed under the name Daphnia pulex (common water flea). Its description in RNAcentral is "uncharacterized LOC124208581". Lineage: Eukaryota; Metazoa; Arthropoda; Branchiopoda; Diplostraca; Daphniidae. The record is from RNAcentral.